UGGGUCGAUGAAGAACGCAGCUAAUUGCGCGUCAACUUGUGAACUGCAGGACACAUGAACAUCGACAUUUCGAACGCACAUUGCGGUCCUCGGAUUCUGUUCCCGGACCACUCCUGGCUGAGGGUCGUAUCUAUUUCAAAGACUGCUCGGUUUUCAUCAUCGUUCCGACACGCACAAAAAAUAAGUCGUCGUCGUCGAACGUGGAGAACGUCAGAGCGAGGUGGAUGUUAUACGCGUUGUAUUAUCGUCGACGACGUUUAUGUUAAAAACGACGAAGACGAUAGUUGAGACGACGCGACAUCUUAAAACGCGAAAGCGGCUUGGUAGCUUACAAAUUUAUUUGUCGAGCUAUCAGGCGUAAUUUAGAAGCGUCGUCGUGUGAGCACGUCAGAUGGUGACCGAAACACCGUCGUCGUAUAAAACGAUCGUCGUGUCCGAUAAUUUCGAAUGAAAAAUAAAUCGGAAGAGACGUCAGAUCGUUAGCACGCACAAUAGACUUGAACGUUUCGACCGAAAAACUUUCGUUUUAUCGACCUCAGAGCAGGGGAGACUACCCGCUUAAUUUAAGCAUAUUACUAAGGCGGAGGAACA
Molecule: ribosomal RNA, 591 nt
Filed under: Galapaganus howdenae
Lineage: Eukaryota; Metazoa; Arthropoda; Insecta; Coleoptera; Curculionidae
Description: eukaryotic LSU rRNA
Rfam family: 5.8S ribosomal RNA (bases 5-127)
Source: RNAcentral